UGGGGAAUUUUCCGCAAUGGGCGAAAGCCUGACGGAGCAACGCCGCGUGAGGGAUGAAGGCCUCUGGGCUGUAAACCUCUUUUCUCAAGGAAGAAGAUCUGACGGUACUUGAGGAAUAAGCCACGGCUAAUUCCGUGCCAGCAGCCGCGGUAAUACGGGAGUGGCAAGCGUUAUCCGGAAUCACUGGGCAUAAAGCGUCUGUAGGUCGCUUACCAAGUCUGCUGUUAAAGAUCAGGGCCUAACCCUGGGAAAGCAGUGGAAACUAGUAAGCUUGAGUGUGGUAGAGGUAGAGGGAAUUCCUGGUGUAGCGGUGAAAUGCGUAGAUAUUAGGAAGAACACCAAUGGCGAAAGCAAUCUACUGGGCCAUAACUGACACUGAGAGACGACAGCUAGGGGAGCA
Molecule: ribosomal RNA, 400 nt
Filed under: uncultured bacterium
Lineage: Bacteria
Description: bacterial SSU rRNA
Rfam family: Bacterial small subunit ribosomal RNA
Source: RNAcentral